Molecule: transfer RNA, 72 nt
Filed under: Candidatus Omnitrophota bacterium
Lineage: Bacteria; Pseudomonadati; Candidatus Omnitrophota
Description: Candidatus Omnitrophica bacterium (groundwater metagenome) tRNA-Thr
Rfam family: tRNA
About the family: Transfer RNA (tRNA) molecules are approximately 80 nucleotides in length. Their secondary structure includes four short double-helical elements and three loops (D, anti-codon, and T loops). Further hydrogen bonds mediate the characteristic L-shaped molecular structure. tRNAs have two regions of fundamental functional importance: the anti-codon, which is responsible for specific mRNA codon recognition, and the 3' end, to which the tRNAs corresponding amino acid is attached (by aminoacyl-tRNA synthetases). tRNAs cope with the degeneracy of the genetic code in two manners: having more than one tRNA (with a specific anti-codon) for a particular amino acid; and 'wobble' base-pairing, i.e. permitting non-standard base-pairing at the 3rd anti-codon position.
Source: RNAcentral
GCCCACGUAGCUCAGGGGUAGAGCAGCGCUUUCGUAAAGCGCGGGUCGGGGGUUCAAAUCCCUCCGUGGGCU